UUGUUUCUUUUUAGUAUUCUGCAACUUCAGUCCCAUCUGUACUACUUGCGAGACGGCAUUUAAGAUCUCUUUACCUCCAGUCAUGAAGGCAAAAAAGAAGAAAUUAAAAUCUAUGUUUUAGAGGCAGGACUUGUUUCUGCACAGACGACCAGCGAGGUUUACAUGGACUCCUCAGUGAUCAUAAAUAAUUACCACCAUAUCAUAAAUUUGGAGAGAAGCAUCAGACAGCUAACAAGCUUUCAUUCUGUUGCCAGAAGGACAACAUGGCAACUGAAACUCAACAAUCAGAGGAGCACAUGCAAGGUGUGAUAUUUCUGCACCACC
Long non-coding RNA from Nanorana parkeri, 324 nucleotides. RefSeq lists it as uncharacterized. Lineage: Eukaryota; Metazoa; Chordata; Amphibia; Anura; Dicroglossidae. The transcript is spliced from 2 exons. The record is from RefSeq and is a predicted model, not a curated record.